Molecule: ribosomal RNA, 253 nt
Filed under: uncultured bacterium
Lineage: Bacteria
Description: partial 16S ribosomal RNA
Rfam family: Bacterial small subunit ribosomal RNA
Source: RNAcentral
GACAGAGGGUGCAAACGUUGCUCGGAUUGACUGGGCGUAAAGCGCGUGUAGGUGGUCCCGCGAGUCAGGUGUGAAAGCCCAGGGCUCAACCCUGGAAGUGCACCUGAUACUACGGGGCUGGAGUUCUGUAGAGGAGAGCGGAAUUCCCGGUGUAGAGGUGAAAUUCGUAGAUAUCGGGAGGAACACCAGUGGCGAAGGCGGCUCUCUGGACAGGUACUGACACUGAGACGCGAAAGCGUGGGUAGCAAACAGG